Gossypium arboreum is the source of this 495-nucleotide long non-coding RNA. RefSeq lists it as uncharacterized. NCBI's taxonomy places the organism in Eukaryota, Viridiplantae, Streptophyta, Magnoliopsida, Malvales, Malvaceae. The transcript is spliced from 2 exons. The record is from RefSeq and is a predicted model, not a curated record.
AAAGGUUUAGGAAUGAAACCGAAGGAUUAAAUUAUUCAGAAAUUAUUCCACAAAUUCAAAAUAAAUAUAUUUCUUUCUGUAAGCAAGUAUAGUAACAUUGUAGUAUAAAUAAGAGAGAAACCUGUUGAAUCUGAACAUAACAAAGGGUACCUAGAAAGGAGAAAACAAGUGUUACUUGCGCUGAUGUUGUUUGCUGCGCUCAUGGACAUAAAUUGAGGUGGCCUGAACUGUUGGGUAAAAAUGGAGCAGCGGCUAAAGCAACAAUCGAAAAAGAAAAUCCAGAAGUAACAGCUGAAAUACUGACAUCAGGAAGAGUUGGACCUCCUAAUUUUUGCUGCAAUCGUGUUUUUGUAAUUGUCGACACUCAUGGCAAUGUAACCAAUAUCCCUACUAUUGGUUGAGUUCACACAAUCCCACUAUUUCAUCAUCUCAACCUUAUUUAUGAAUACAUUAUAAUAAUGAAAUUUUUCAAUAAUAAAAGGUUUCUUUUUCCAA